GAUAGGAGUAGUUCAGGCAUACUCCAGAAAGGAGGCCUCCUCUGUAACCCAGUCAGUCUGGAUCCACCCCCCUCCAAACUUCCAUACACAAUACAGUUGAGAGUUGCAACAAACAGGUGCCAGAGCACCAGGGGAGGAGAGAAAGUCAGCUGCAUCUCUGCCUGACAGUUCCUUUUACUAAGCAGUGAAAGCUCCUCUUCUUUGACUCUCUCCCAAACUUACAGCUGAAGUUAACAUGUAGUGGAAAAAGUGCAGGGUUUCAAUUACUGCAGUCAUAAUGAGAAAGAGAGACAAUCCAAGCCAAUGCCAGCAAAACUGUGUUUUGCAGGAGACUGCUUGCCUGCAGCUCCAUGAUUUUCUGUGAAUCACCCAUUUUAAUAAACUAAUAUCUUUGAGGA
Long non-coding RNA from Mauremys reevesii (Reeves's turtle), 398 nucleotides. RefSeq lists it as uncharacterized. The record is from RefSeq and is a predicted model, not a curated record. The transcript has 2 exons. Lineage: Eukaryota; Metazoa; Chordata; Testudines; Geoemydidae.